GACGAACGCUGGCGGCGUGCCUAAUACAUGCAAGUAGAACGCUGAAGGAGGAGCUUGCUUCUCUGGAUGAGUUGCGAACGGGUGAGUAACGCGUAGGUAACCUGCCUGGUAGCGGGGGAUAACUAUUGGAAACGAUAGCUAAUACCGCAUAAUAGUAGAUGUUGCAUGACAUUUGCUUAAAAGGUGCAAUUGCAUCACUACCAGAUGGACCUGCGUUGUAUUAGCUAGUUGGUGAGGUAACGGCUCACCAAGGCAACGAUACAUAGCCGACCUGAGAGGGUGAUCGGCCACACUGGGACUGAGACACGGCCCAGACUCCUACGGGAGGCAGCAGUAGGGAAUCUUCGGCAAUGGACGGAAGUCUGACCGAGCAACGCCGCGUGAGUGAAGAAGGUUUUCGGAUCGUAAAGCUCUGUUGUAAGAGAAGAACGAGUGUGAGAGUGGAA
This 446-nucleotide ribosomal RNA is filed under the name Streptococcus mitis. Its description in RNAcentral is "bacterial SSU rRNA". It matches the Rfam family "Bacterial small subunit ribosomal RNA", at positions 28 to 466 of the family's 1533-position model. The record is from RNAcentral. Lineage: Bacteria; Bacillati; Bacillota; Bacilli; Lactobacillales; Streptococcaceae.